ACGUCUACAUUAGAUACCCGUGUAGUCCUAGCCGUAAACUAUGCGCGUUAGGUGUAUCGGUGACCACGAGUCACCGAGGUGCCGAAGGGAAACCGUGAAACGUGCCGCCUGGGAAGUACGGUCGCAAGGCUGAAACUUAAAGGAAUUGGCGGGGAGCACCACAACGGGUGGAGCCUGCGGUUUAAUUGGACUCAACGCCGGGAAGCUCACCGGAUAGGACAGCAGAAUGAUUGCCGGGCUGAAGACCCUGCAUGACUAGCUG
This 262-nucleotide ribosomal RNA is filed under the name uncultured archaeon. Its description in RNAcentral is "partial 16S ribosomal RNA". It matches the Rfam family "Archaeal small subunit ribosomal RNA", at positions 719 to 982 of the family's 1478-position model. The record is from RNAcentral.